Molecule: ribosomal RNA, 405 nt
Filed under: uncultured rumen bacterium
Lineage: Bacteria
Description: bacterial SSU rRNA
Rfam family: Bacterial small subunit ribosomal RNA
Source: RNAcentral
CAGCCGCCGCGGUAAUACGGAGGGUGCAAGCGUUAUCCGGAUUCACUGGGUUUAAAGGGUGCGUAGGCGGGUAUGUAAGUCAGUGGUGAAAUCUCGGAGCUUAACUCCGAAACUGCCAUUGAUACUAUAUAUCUUGAAUAUUGUGGAGGUUUGCGGAAUAUGUCAUGUAGCGGUGAAAUGCUUAGAUAUGACACAGAACACCUAUUGCGAAGGCAGCAGGCUACACAUAUAUUGACGCUGAGGCACGAAAGCGUGGGGAUCAAACAGGAUUAGAUACCCUGGUAGUCCACGCCCUAAACGAUGGAUACUCGACAUACGCGAUACACUGCGUGUGUCUGAGCGAAAGCAUUAAGUAUCCCACCUGGGAAGUACGACCGCAAGGUUGAAACUUAAAGGAAUUGGCGG